UCAAAUUCGACGGAUCACUUAUCAAAAGUCUCAGAUACUUCAGGUGUUACUGGGUCGACACUUUCGUCUUCAGUGCAGGAUUCUGAUGAUAAGGUUGGAGAGACAUCGAAAAAUA
RNAcentral lists this microRNA precursor (115 nucleotides) under Schistosoma mansoni. RNAcentral describes it as "microRNA sma-mir-8442 precursor". Lineage: Eukaryota; Metazoa; Platyhelminthes; Trematoda; Strigeidida; Schistosomatidae. The record is from miRBase by way of RNAcentral.